RNAcentral lists this ribosomal RNA (261 nucleotides) under uncultured prokaryote. RNAcentral's name for it is "partial 16S ribosomal RNA". It matches the Rfam family "Bacterial small subunit ribosomal RNA", at positions 524 to 784 of the family's 1533-position model. The record is from RNAcentral.
UACGUAGGUGGCGAGCGUUGUCCGGAAUUACUGGGUGUAAAGGGCGAGUAGGCGGAUAGACAAGUCAGAUGUGAAAUACCACGGCUUAACUGUGGGGGUGCAUUUGAAACUGUAUAUCUUGAGUGAUGGAGAGGCAGGCGGAAUUCCUAGUGUAGCGGUGAAAUGCGUAGAUAUUAGGAGGAACACCAGUGGCGAAGGCGGCCUGCUGGACAUUAACUGACGCUGAGGUGCGAAGGCGUGGGGAUCAAACAGGAUUAGAUA